Molecule: non-coding RNA, 116 nt
Filed under: Callithrix jacchus (white-tufted-ear marmoset)
Lineage: Eukaryota; Metazoa; Chordata; Mammalia; Primates; Cebidae
Description: Bacterial large subunit ribosomal RNA
Rfam family: Bacterial large subunit ribosomal RNA
Source: Rfam by way of RNAcentral
CCCGAAACCAAACAAGCUACCCAAGGAUAGCUAAAGAGCACACCCGUCUCUGUGGCAAAAUAGUGGGAAAAUCUAUGGGUAGUGGCGACAAACCUAUCGAGCCUGGUGAUAGCUGG